RNAcentral lists this ribosomal RNA (457 nucleotides) under Enterobacter sp. RNAcentral's name for it is "bacterial SSU rRNA". It matches the Rfam family "Bacterial small subunit ribosomal RNA", at positions 111 to 556 of the family's 1533-position model. The record is from RNAcentral. Lineage: Bacteria; Pseudomonadati; Pseudomonadota; Gammaproteobacteria; Enterobacterales; Enterobacteriaceae.
UAAUGUCUGGUGACACUGCCUCAUGGACGGCGAUAACUACUGGAAACGGUAGCCAAUACCGCCCAACGUCGCAAGACCAAAGAGGGGGACCUUCGGGCCUCUUGCCAUCGGAUGUGCCCAGAUGGGAUUAGCUAGUAGGUGGGGUAACGGCUCACCUAGGCGACGAUCCCUAGCUGAGUCUGAGAGCAUGACCAGCCACACUGGAAACUGAGACACGGUCCAGACUCCUACGGGAGGCACCAGUGGGGAAUAUUGCACAAUGCGGCGCAAGCCUGAUGCAACCCAUGCCGCGUGUAUGAACGAAGGCCUUCGACUUGUCCAGUACUUUCACCACAGAGGCAAGGCGAUAAGGUUAAUAACCUUGUCGAUUGACGUUACCCGCAGAAGAAGCACCGGCUAACUCCGUGCCAGCAGCCGCGGUAAUACGGAGGGUGCAAGCGUUAAUCGAAAAUUACUG